Molecule: ribosomal RNA, 292 nt
Filed under: uncultured bacterium
Lineage: Bacteria
Description: partial 16S ribosomal RNA
Rfam family: Bacterial small subunit ribosomal RNA
Source: RNAcentral
GUGCCAGCAGCCGCGGUAACACGGAGAGUGCGAGCGUUGUUCGGAAUCACUGGGCUUAAAGCGCGUGUAGGCGGGAUGUCAGGUGCCGGGUGAAAUCCCCGGGCUCAACCCGGGAACUGUUCGGCAAACCGGCAUUCUUGAGGCAGGCAGAGGUGACUGGAACGACUGGUGGAGCGGUGAAAUGCGUAGAUAUCAGUUGGAACGCCGGAGGCGAAAGCGGGUCGCUGGGCCUGUCCUGACGCUGAGACGCGAAAGCGUGGGGAGCGAAGAGGAUUAGAAACCCCAGUAGUCC